GGAGUUGUCACCCAGCCUGUAAGAAAGGUUCCCCCAGGCCCCAUGCCAGCCCCAUAGCACUACCCACUCCACGACUUCUGCUGCACCCCACUGCUGGGGUGAUUGUUCCAAUGUGACUGAACACUUCAAACUCCAUCUGGCUGUUACUGAGGCGGAGACAAGGGUGAUGAUUGGCUUUCUGGGGAGAGAGACGUCUUGUGAUUGGUUGAAUCUCUGAAGCUUUUGAAGCUGUGAGAGGAGGCUCCCACGGAGGCUGGGUAAGCAGCCG
RNAcentral lists this long non-coding RNA (268 nucleotides) under Cricetulus griseus (Chinese hamster). Its description in RNAcentral is "lncRNA (ENSCGRG00000026102.1)". The record is from RNAcentral. Lineage: Eukaryota; Metazoa; Chordata; Mammalia; Rodentia; Cricetidae.